GUUGGGAAUGUUAAAAGAUGAAUAAGGAAUGGCUGAAAGGACACAUUUAAUUACCUACCAGAUUAAGGAGAAAAAUUCUGGAAAGCAGAGUAAAAUCUGCUUGUAGGAAUUAUUUUUACCUUUAUACUCAAGAGUUAAUGGACAAAAUAUAGGAAUGGUCUCAAGAAAGGAAAACAAAACUGGACUUUUCAAAGUGCCUCAGACUUGCUGGACAUGUACAGGGCUACUUUCUUGGAGGCAC
This is a long non-coding RNA of Vidua macroura (Pin-tailed whydah), 241 nucleotides long. RefSeq lists it as uncharacterized. The transcript is spliced from 3 exons. The record is from RefSeq and is a predicted model, not a curated record. Lineage: Eukaryota; Metazoa; Chordata; Aves; Passeriformes; Viduidae.